UGCAAGUCGAACGGUAGCACAGAAGAGCUUGCUCUUUGGGUGACGAGUGGCGGACGGGUGAGUAAUGUCUGGGGAUCUGCCCGGCAGAGGGGGAUAACUACUGGAAACGGUAGCUAAUACCGCAUAACCUCGCAGGAGCAAAGAGGGGGACCUUAGGGCCUCUCGCUGUCGGAUGAACCCAGAUGGGAUUAGCUAGUAGGUGAGGUAACGGCUCACCCAGGCGACGAUCCCUAGCUGGUCUGAGAGGAUGACCAGCCACACUGGAACUGAGACACGGUCCAGACUCCUACGGGAGGCAGCAGUGGGGAAUAUUGCACAAUGGGCGCAAGCCUGAUGCAGCCAUGCCGCGUGUAUGAAGAAGGCCUUCGGGUUGUAAAGUACUUUCAGCGGGGAGGAAGGGUUGUGGGCGAAUACCCUGCGACAUUGACGUUACCCGCAGAAGAAGCACCGGCUAACUCCGUGCCAGCAGCCGCGGUAAUACGGAGGGUGCGAGCGUUAAUCGGAAUUACUGGGCGUAAAGCGCACGCAGGCGGUCUGUCAAGUCAGAUGUGAAAUCCCCGGGCUUAACCUGGGAACUG
Molecule: ribosomal RNA, 578 nt
Filed under: Erwinia sp. Arv-29-4.14a
Lineage: Bacteria; Pseudomonadati; Pseudomonadota; Gammaproteobacteria; Enterobacterales; Erwiniaceae
Description: bacterial SSU rRNA
Rfam family: Bacterial small subunit ribosomal RNA
Source: RNAcentral